Molecule: ribosomal RNA, 232 nt
Filed under: uncultured bacterium
Lineage: Bacteria
Description: partial 16S ribosomal RNA
Rfam family: Bacterial small subunit ribosomal RNA
Source: RNAcentral
CGGACGGGUGAGUAAUGUAUGGGGAUCUGCCUGAUGGCGGGGGAUAACUACUGGAAACGGUAGCUAAUACCGCAUAAUGUCUGCGGACCAAAGCGGGGGACCUCCGGGCCUCGCGCCAUCAGAUGAACCCAUAUGGGAUUAGCUUGUAGGUAAGGUAACGGCUUACCUAGGCGACGAUCCCUAGCUGGUCUGAGAGGAUGACCAGCCACACUGGAACUGAGGCACGGUCCAG